This is a small nucleolar RNA of Spinacia oleracea (spinach), 107 nucleotides long. NCBI's taxonomy places the organism in Eukaryota, Viridiplantae, Streptophyta, Magnoliopsida, Caryophyllales, Amaranthaceae. The record is from RefSeq and is a predicted model, not a curated record.
AUUUUAUGAUGCGGGCAAGACUGCUGCAAUGCCUUGACUCUAUCUCAGGCUUCCCUAAGUGACUCACCAGGUUCUUGUGUGAAUGUAGUCAACUCGUGUCUUAUUUC